RNAcentral lists this ribosomal RNA (478 nucleotides) under uncultured bacterium. RNAcentral's name for it is "partial 16S ribosomal RNA". It matches the Rfam family "Bacterial small subunit ribosomal RNA", at positions 28 to 507 of the family's 1533-position model. The record is from RNAcentral.
GAUGAACGCUGGCGGCGUGCUUAACACAUGCAAGUCGAACGAGAAGUGAAGACGGAAACCUUCGGGCGGAAGGCUUUAUCUCGAGUGGCGGACGGGUGAGUAACGCGUGGGUAACCUGCCUCAUACAGGGGGAUAACAGUUGGAAACGACUGUUAAUACCGCAUAAGACCACAGCACCGCAUGGUGCGGGGGUAAAAACUCCGGUGGUAUGAGAUGGACCCGCGUUCGAUUAGCCAGUUGGCGGGGUAACGGCCCACCAAAGCGACGAUCGAUAGCCGAUCUGAGAGGAUGACCGGCCACAUUGGGACUGAGACACGGCCCAAACUCCUACGGGAGGCAGCAGUGGGGAAUAUUGCACAAUGGGGGAAACCCUGAUGCAGCGACGCCGCGUGAGUGAAGAAGUAUUUCGGUAUGUAAAGCUCUAUCAGCAGGGAAGAAAAUGACGGUACCUGAGUAAGAAGCCCCGGCUAACUACGUG